RNAcentral lists this long non-coding RNA (1263 nucleotides) under Heterocephalus glaber (naked mole-rat). RNAcentral's name for it is "lncRNA (ENSHGLG00000048853.1)". Lineage: Eukaryota; Metazoa; Chordata; Mammalia; Rodentia; Bathyergidae. The record is from RNAcentral.
CAGCACUUUUUUAAUCACACUGCUUCUUGUAGCUUUUUUUGAGAAGCAAGGGGCAUCACACCAAAUCAUAGCCCAGUUUUACAGGACAAGCAAGCCCUUGGCCUGAUUUCAUCUGGAAAAUGUUACAUAUAGAGCCGUGGCUUCCAAACCUGGGCAUGGGGAUCUGAACUCUGUGUUUACAGAAAGCCCCUUGUUUGUUUGUUUUUUUGUACUGGGAAUCAAACUCAGGGCCUCACUCUUGCCAGGCAGGCGUGGUGCCCCUGACCUACAUUCUCAGCUCUGCCCCUUGUGUUAAGAACCAGUAAAACACUAAAGUAAAGCACAAAGAGGCGCGUAAGGGAUGGAGACUUUGUGUUGAGUCCAGCAGUGCUGAGAGGAUGUGACACCCAACGAUAAUAAGAUGUGCUGUGUUCCCUCUAUAUAUCACAUACGAAGGAACAGAAGAGCUGGAAGUGCAGAAGUGGGUUGUCGGGGUCAAAUUGCUUCCCAAGUCUAAACACCUGUGGAUAAUGAUGUUCAGGUUUCCAGCUGGUCAUUGGACAUUGAGUCUGGGUCUUAAGGAUGAAUUGAGGGCAAGGCUGAUCUGCCAUGCCGAAGGAGCUUUUCGCCACUAUGCCCUUCCACCAAGAUCUUUCUACCUUGGAGCCAAUUGACCAUGGACUGAAUCCUUUUAAAAUUCUCAGCAAGUCCUGGCAAAUUUAUGUUGAAAGUGGAUUCCGAAGCCAUGCACUACUCCCACUUGAUGCAAGCCACUGUCCUCUCUCACCAGUCUCCUGCCAGCCCCAUGGCUUCUGUCCUUGCUGCUUUCCACUCAGCUCUCUGUGGAGUGGAGCGGGGAUCACUGUGAAAUGCUGACCUCAGUCUGAUAGCCUCAGGUGACCGGCAGGAUGAACCCAAGCUUCUGAAGCCCUACCAGACCUUUUUGGUCCCUGCCUACCUCACCGACCAUGCUGAAGCCCCUUCCCCCUUCAUCUUCUGAUUCCCAAACCCAUCAAACCCACGCCACCCUCAGGCCUUGGGCUUUGCUGUUGCCUCUGCCUAAUGUGCUGUUCUCCAUGACCUGGCAUGACCAUUUUCCUCUCUCUCGGCCCGGGCUGGAUUACCACGUCCUUGAAAAGCCCGCCCUAGAGUCACUCAGACCCUCUUUAGUGCAUGGUCAUGUAAAAAUGUAUCCAAAAAGAAUUUGUCCUGAUCUUUCUCUUUCUGUUGAUAUUUGGUUUUCCCGCCAGAAUAAAAGCUUCAAGAGAGCAAGAUUCUUGUCUG